RNAcentral lists this long non-coding RNA (19814 nucleotides) under Nicotiana tabacum (common tobacco). RNAcentral's name for it is "long non-coding RNA (NTAB_LNC017364)". Lineage: Eukaryota; Viridiplantae; Streptophyta; Magnoliopsida; Solanales; Solanaceae. The record is from RNAcentral.
GUUCUUUCCCCAAACGAUAUAAUUAUAAUACUUUUCACAAACCUCAACCCUAGAGACAAGAGAAAAAUUGGCCGCACCUAAUUCCUUCAUUUCAAAAAACACCCAGCAUAUUCAUCCAAACAUUUUUCUGCCAAUCUCAACGAUACCAACUUCCCAUCCAUUUUACGUCCUAAUUUAGCCUUUGAUCUUUAUUCCCUUUCCUUUUUCAAAUUUAUGUUGUUUCUCUAUUUCCUUGUUCGAUGUUAAUUAUUAAAAACUUCAAUUAUUAUGGCAUAAUCUCCUAAGACCCAGAAAGGUACGGGAACGAGAGUGGGAAUUAAAAAACGAAGCAGAAAAGCAAAAGGGGGAUGGGAACGAAAAUCCAAAGAGCAACGAAUCUCAAUGCUCCAUCUCAUAUUUUAUGGUCCAUUUACAAAAGUAGCGUCUCCUCCCAAACUUUAAUUUACAGUUACUGCUUCAUCUACAAGUGUAGCCUUAUCGGACAGCAGUGUGUCCUCAAUUGCUGACAAAUCUUUUUCAUUCUAAAGAGAUUUUGAAAAAAUAUAUAUAUAAAGGAGAUGAUGUUUCUUCUCGUCAAUUUCGGGCCUUUGAUUUUCAAUGGAGUUCGAUUGAGGCUGAGUCGUGUGAGAUCCGUGUGGAGCUGACGAGCGCGAGUUCCGUCGGAGGUACUGUUCACAAUCUUGUUGCUUAUGCGUUUCGAAGUUGUCCGAACAUUCAAAUUUUAGAUUCAAUAUUAAGGUCUAUUUCUCUUCACUAAUCCCAUUUGAUUUCUAUUUGUGCUUUCUUGUUUCUAAUAUCUGUUUUUAUUUUAAUUGCUUCUUCGUGGUUGUUGUAUAAAUAAUUUAUGAUUUAUAGUUGAGUGAGUGCAAAUGAUUUCACGUUUUCGCUGGGUAUUCAACUUGUAUUAGAUUUGAAAGUACUACUGUGUUGGGUAAGAUAAAUGGACAAUUGUAAAUUGAUUUGUCUUGGAUGAUGAAAUAAGCCGAAGGUUUUGGGCAUUAAAAAAAGUGAAAAACGAAAAUUUGGAUCUUAAAUCUUCAUUGUUUUUUUUAUAGCUUUAUUAUUCGUUUACUUCAUUAGGAGCAUAUUUAGGCCGUCAUCACCUGGGUAGGCAAACUUUUGGAUUUUUGUUAGUUUUGAGAAGAGAGGUCGUUCCCUUAGUUAAAUAUAUCCGGGGAAUACCUCGAAGGAUUUGUAUAUAUUUUAUUUCGGGGAAUGCCCCGUAGUAUUCUGUAAUUGGAGGUCGAAAGCGAACUCAUAAUACUUUUAUUCUUAUUUUUUUUUUUAUUUUUAUCUUUCUUUUAUUAGGUGAGAAUGAUCUUGAGCCUCUUAUGUGUUAAUUUUCCCAUUUCUGUAUUUAUCACCUCAAUUCGAAUAUUUUAAAACCAACUAGAUCGAGUAUGCAACCGUACUAGUUAUGGGACUCGGGGAAUGCCUAACAACUUCUCCUCGAGUCAAAUAAACUCCCUUACCUUGAAUCUCUGGUGCAAACUGGUUUAACAAUCAAAUGUGUUUUGAAGGAAAAUUGUUAUUUUGAAAAUGGUGACCUGGCACAUCAAAAUCAAAUGUCAGGUGACGACUCUGAAUAAUCUUUCGAAACAUAAAUACUUUGUCACUUUCAAAAUUGAAAACCCUUUUGAGCUUCAAAAUCCUUUUAUUAUUUUUAAGAGGGUUAGUGAUGAGUGAAAAAAAAGGGUGUGACACCUUGCUUUCAACUGCCUUAUCUCAGCAGUGGCACUGUUCUGAGCAUUGAUCUACUGAGAAAUGGUAGAAGUACUUCCAGCUUCUCUAGCCCUAUCAAUGCACUCACAUUCUUCGAGAGUGAACCUGGAGAAGGUUGCUUCUUAGUGACCACUUUAGCUUAUCCCAGAGGAACCUUGAAGUACUCAAAAACAUUGGUGAGAAGGAACCCAUAAUGCAGCCCAUGAUUACCAUCUUUAAAAUCUACAACUUGCUGCAUGUGCUCUAUCAUGAUACUAGGCAAAUUGAUGGUAGUGUAGUUGUCCAGUGCUUCCAUGAGGAACAUGUGUGCACGAGAAGUAAUAAAUCUUCUUUCAGCAUGAGGGAGCAAGACCUUGUUCCCCAUCUCAAAUAACAAUUGGUAAACUGGAAGGAGAGCCUUUUUCUGUACCCGUUUCCCUUGCUGAACUGCUCUGUCCUUCAGGAUAGUGUUUUUGAAGUUUUGAGAACAGUUCACUGAACAAUAGACAACCCUUCAGCAGGCACACCCAGAAUAGACCCCAACAAGGCAAAGUCCGUUACCAUAUCAACUCCAUUCACCAGUACACAGAUGUGAUCAUCCUCAACUUUGAAGAAGCCGAUAUAGAAUCUUUGUACUUCCUCCUCAUACACUUUUGGAGCAUCAUUUGUGAACAAAUGUGUCCACUGUUGAAACUAACAAAUUUCAACCAACUGUCGUAUUCCAGCCUCUUCAAAAAUGUUAGGGGCAAAUAUGCGGCCCCAUAACACUUUUUGAUUCCUCAAUUUCUCUUUCCCAACACUAUGGGGAUCACUAACUUUGAUCUUCUUGGAGGAACCAGGUUCCUCAUCAACAUCAACUUUUCUUUUAACAGACUUGCGAACAUACUUCCCUUUUUCAUCAGACUUCACAUAAUUUUAACCCAAUUCUUCCAUCACCUUGGCACCAGACUCUACCACCAACUUAUCACCAGAUUCCUUCAGUACAUUUUCACUAGAGACACCAUUAUCAACCUUGUUCAGAUUUUCAGCAUUCACAGAAGAUCCUUUUUUGGGCUUGGGGAGACCAUGCUUCUAUGAGCGCUUUCUAGUUAAGGAACUAGGUUCCUCUUCUUCUUCUUCUUCUUCAUCAUCCACAGUUACAACAGACACUGCCUUUUCACUCACAAACUUCCCAUCUUUCAUCAAUUUUCUUCUUCUUGAUUUAACUUGGCUAUUCUUAAGAGCAAACUCAAGAGCCUCCUUCUUUUGCAACCUUGUAGUAGGUUGUUUAGGAGUAGACUCUAGAGCAACAACUGGUCUCCACUUACCCAAGCUGGCAAUUGGCAAAUUAUCAGAAUCCUUCACUAUCCCCAUUUUGUUAUUUAGACACAGAUCUCAUCUCAGGCACAACCACACACAGAGGCUCAACAUAUAAAUGGGGGGAGAGAGUAGGGUUAGUGCUGACCUGGGGUUCUUGAGAGGACCCUGAGUUGGAUCCUCCGAAGAGGGAUCAGGUCCUACCGCAGGUUCCCCAGUAGCACUCUCCUGUGCCGAUGGUUCAAUAGGCACAAGCUCCUUACCUUCUAUCAAAGUCUUAGACUCAGACCCAUCCUCACCUCCUUCGAUAAUAACCCCUUCAUUUACUAUAGAUAACAUGUUUUUUAUUACUUCUUUCUCUUGUAAAUCCAUGGACAAUGUAGGAGUAGGAGGAGUGUUACCUAUGGACUCAAGAUUAGGAACUAUCUUCGUUGAGUCAGUAUCCUCAGAAUUAGCAGUUUGGUCGACAUUUGAACCUUUGUCCAUAGGAAGACUGGAUAUUUCUUGAUUUUCCUCUUCUUCAACUAUGCCUUUUUUACCUAGCUUUUACGGCAAGGCAAAGGGAGAACUCGUAGCCACAAACCUUUUAGGGGUCGAGCUUUUGCGGCUCCUAUGACAACCAGAACUCGAUUGUGUAGGUGAGUAGACUGAGUAUGAUGGUGACUCUGUUAGGGUUUUGGUAAGUAGUGGUGUUUAGUGAGGAGUAUGACAUCAGUGUUUUAACUAGUGAAGACUCAAUGUGUGUGUUGCUUGGAACACUCGAGGUUGCAUGAUUUUCAUCCAUGGUGAGAAGAAGAGAAGGGAUUUGGUAGUUUGAAGAGGAAAGAAUAAGGAAAAGUUUGAAGUUUGAUGUGAAGACUUAUGACAGUGAUAGAUCUAUUUAAGAUGGAUACGGGACCGGUUAGAAAGAGAGGCAGUUUUGGGAGUCAGGUCGAUUACCAACGGAGGAGACGUUUGUGUUCAAAAGAUGCUAGGAAAAGAAACUAACACACUGACGAUAUGACACUUAUUUUAACCGUCCAAAAUUGUGCAUGAGAGAACAGAGAAACUACUAACAUGUUUCAGAAGAACCAAGUUCCCUGACUAAUCUUGCAUCUGUAAGCUUUGCCCUUUUCCCAGCAUACACUAUAUCAACUGCUUAUUUGUUGUGUAAUCAUCAUGCGUGUCUACCUGUAAAGUUAUAAAGAUGAGUUAGACUUUCUCAGAAAACACUUUAUUUAUCUAAUUUUACCUGGACAUUUCUUUCAUAGCCAAUCAUCAAGGGACCAGGUUUUUACUUAGGUUUUAUCAACUCUAGUGCCAGGAGAUUUCUUUCAUAAUGUUCUCUGCUUAAUGCCUCGGUGAAUAUAUCAACAAUCUAAUCUUCUGUGCUGCAAAAUUUCAUGCAAAUGAGCCCAUUUUCAACAUUGUCUCCGAGGAAGUGAUGACGCACAUCAAUGUGCUUGGUUCUCUUAUGUUGGACUAGAUUUUUGGCCAUAUUGAGUACACUUGUAUUGUCACACAAGAGGGGCACACAGUCAGAGAACACUCCAAGUCUUCCAACUGCUGCUUGAUCCACAGUAGUUGAGCACAUCAAGAAGCAGCUGCUACAUAUUCCGCUUCUGUAGUUGAGAGUGCCACUGAGUUUUGCUUCAUUGUACCUCGUGAUAUUAGACAAGAACCCAAGAAAUGUGCAAUUCCGGACGUACUUUUCCUAUCCACCAGAUAUCCAACAUAAUCAGCAUCAACUUACCAAACAAGAUCAAAGUUGUCUCCUGAGGGAUAGUAGAGAACCAGGUCCUACGUUCCUUUGAGAUAUCUCAAUAUUCUCUUGGCAACCUUCAGAUGAGAUUCCUUUGGAUUGAAUUGAAACCUUGCACAGAGACCCACGCUGAACACACUGUCUGGUCUGCUUGUAGUGAGAUACAUAUGUGACCCUAUGAUCUCUCUAUACAUGGUCUGAUUUACAGGGGAACCAAGUUCAUCCAUGUCUAGAUGAGUAGCUGUGGCAAUAUAAGUGUCAAUAACUUUUAAUUCUUCCAUGUCAAACAUUUUCAAUAGCUCCUUGAUGUACUUCUGCUGACUUAUCAAUGUUCCCUUUUGAGAUUGUUUCACUUGAAGUCCUAGGAAGAAAUUUAAUUCUCCCAUCAUACUCAUCUCGAACUCACUCCCCAUGAGUUUUGCAAAUUCUUCACAUAGAGAGUCAGUUGUGGCUCCAAAAAUGAUAUCAUCAACAUAUACUGCACAAUGAGCAGGUUCCUCCCCCGUUUCUUCAGAAAAAAAGGUGUUGUCAAUUUUCCCUCUUGUAAAGCCAUUUUCUAGAAGGAAUUUUGACAACCUUUUAUACCAAGCCCAAGGAGCCUGCUUUAGCUCAUACAAUGCCUUGUCCAGUUUGAACACAUGCUCAAGAUGUUCGUGAUUCUCAAAUCUAGGUGGUUGCUUGACAUAAAAUUUUUUAGGAAGCCAUUCAGAAAUGCACUUUUGAUAUCCAUUUGGAACAGUUUGAAUUCCAUAUGUGAUGCAAAGGCAAUAAGAAUUCUGAUAGCCUCCAUUCAAGCGAUUGGGGUAAAAGUUUCAUCAUAGUUAAUCCCUUCUUCUUGAUUGUAGCCUUGAACUACAAGCCUUGACUUGUUUCUUGUUGUGUUUCCAAACUCAUCAAGCUUGUUCCUGAAUAACCACCUGGUUCCUAUAACAUUCGAUCUGCAGGUCGAGGAACCAGGUGACAUACCUUGUUCCUCUCAAAUUGAUGAAGUUCUUACUGCAUGGCUGUAAUUCAGUCUGCAUCUUUUAGUGUUUCCUUGAUAUUUUUGGGCUCUAUUUGAGAGAGAAAAGUUGAGAAGGCAAGUGAGUUUCUGGUCUUUGAUCUGGUUUGAAUUCCUGAAUCAAUAGGAGUGAUGAUGUUAUCAAUGGAGUGUGAACUUUUGUGUUUCCAGUUAGACACCUGAACCUCAUUGUGCAAAGUUCCAGGUAUUUCUGCCUGUAAGACUUGAUUUCUUCUUGUCUCAGCAUGUGGAGUUCCUUGAAAAACAUCGACAACUCUAUUUUCAGCUUCAGUUGUUGUAAUUGAGGGACCAGGUUCCUCUCCGUCAAUUGGAGAUAUGGUUGCACCAUCCUCAUUUGAUUCCUCAACGUGGCUCAUCAUAUUAGCUUUUCCAUUUGCCAUGUCAAUGAUUUCACCAGGGACCAAUAACUGUUCUCCGUCUUGAUCAUUCUUAUCAUUCAAAUUCUUUCUACAUGGGUCACGAGAUUCAUUGAAGAUCAUAUGAAUGCUUCCCUCAACACAUUGAGUUCUUUUGUUAUACACUUUGUAGGCUUUGUUGUGUGAUGAAUAGCCUAGAAAGAUUUCCUCAUCACUUUUGGCAUCGAAUUUUCCAAGAGCUUCCUUUCCAUUAUUGAGGACAAAACAAUUAUACCCAAAAGUCCUUAGAUGUGUCAGCUUAGGAUUCCUUCCAUUCAACAUUUCAUAUGGAGUUUUGUUCAGAAGGGACCUGAUCAUGCACCUGUUCACCAAGUAGUAAGCAGUGUUGACAACUUCUACCCAGAAAUUCUUUGCAAUCCCACUGUCAAUCAAUAUUUUCCUUGCCAUAUCUUCAAGAGUUCUAUUCUUCCACUCGACAACACCAUUUUAUUGAGGUGUUCUUGGAGCAGAAAAAUUGUGAGUGAUACCAUUUUCAGUACAUAACUCAACAAAUUUGGGAUUGUUGAACUCUGUCCCAUGAUUAGACGUGUUGCAAGCUACCUUAUUACCCAUUUUCACUUGGAUCUUUUUGACGAAGGCAAAAAACACUUCAAAAGUUUCAUCCUUGGUUCUAAGAAACAAAGUCCACAUGAAUCUGGAGUAGACGUCAACUAUAACGAAGAUGUAUUUCUUUCUUUCUCUGCUUGGCACCCUCAUAGGUCCAUAUAGAUCCAUGUGAAGAAGAUCAAGUGACCUCGAGGUACUGACUUCCUUUUUGGGCUUGAAUGAGGAUCUGUCUUGCUUCCCUUUUACAUAUGCAUCACACACUUUGUGAUCCUUGAAUCUUGAAUUGGGCAGACCACGAACCAGGUCCUUCCUGACCAAUUUAUUUAGCAACGUGAAGCUUACAUGAUCUAUCCUCCUAUGCCAUAAUUUAGCAUCAUCAUAAACAACACUUAGACAGCUGAGAUCACCACUCUACAUAGACUCAAAAUCAACAACAUAGAUAUUUUUGUAUUUUAUUAAGCUUGAAUCAGGUUGCAAUUCAUAAUUUUGAUGUUGUUUGAUGUAAUUUGAAGGCUCGACUAAGUUCGUAAUGUGUUUUAGAAUUGGUUGGUAUGAUUGGACGGGGGCCCGGAGGCCUCGGGUGGAUUUCGGGUGGUUAACAGAUCAAAUUUGCAUUUAGAGGAAGAGCUAAAGCAGCUAGGCAUCCGGUGUAAUAGCACCUGCGUGAAGUGGGCUGCAAGUGCGAGUCCGCAUGUGCAGGAAAUGACUCGCAGAAACGGAGGGGGGUUAGGUUGCUGAGAACCGCAGGAGCAGAAAAGUUUGCGCACCUGCGAUGGCAUAGGUGCGAGGUUAGUCAUUGUAGAAGCAGAAAGUGCCACAGGUGCGAAAGAAGUUGCCGCAUAAGCGGAAGCGCGGAUGCGGCCAAGGAGUCCGCAGGUGCGGAAAGUCAGUGGGCAGUGAGGUUUCUUUAAAACGGGACUUGGCCCAUUUUUCUCCCAUUGUUCUUUGGGUUAGGAAAUUUUGGAGAGCUUUAAGGGGAGAUUUUCAUCAAGCAACUCAAGGUAAGUGAUCCCCACUUAUUAUAAGUUAAAUACAUGAUUUGUAUAAGGAUUUAAACAUGCAAAUUAGUAUAAAUUAUGGGGUUUUUGAUAGAAAAUUUAGAAUUUGGUAUUUUGAAUUUUGACCAUGAAUUUGGGCAUGUAAUUGAGAAUAAAUUAUAUAUUUGAGUUCGUGAAGUUAUGGAUAAAGAUUAUCUUUGAAAAUUUUAGAAAUCUGGGCACGUGGGCCCGAGGGUGAUUUUAUCCGCUUUUCGAGCGGAGUUGGGAAAUUAUUUAAAUUGAAUUGUUGUGAGUAUUAGAGUAUAUUUUUAUAGGUUUGCACAUUUAUUGACUAGUUUUGGAGCGUUGGGCACUGGUUUGAUUCGCUGGAAGGGCUUGGGAGACGGUUAUGGAGCUUUAGAGCGAGGUAAGUCUCUUUUCUAACCUUGUAAGUGGGAAUUAAUCCCAUAUGUGAACUAAAUUAUUACAUACUUCUAUUUGUGGGUCUACGUUUGCAUGAGGUGACGAGAGUCCGUGCGUAGCUACCAUUAUGCUUAACUGCGGGUAGUCUAGGACCCAAAAGAUGCUAUACUUGCGAUAUUUACAACCUUAUUGUCAAUAUAAAUUGCUUAAAUCAUAUCAAGCUUAGUAAAUGAAUUUCUAAGAGGUUAACCUUUAUUUUCUUGACCGGUAAAAGAGGAUUUACAUUUCCUUGGAUAAUUGCUCCUUUAUGAAUUCUUGAUUGACUGUUGGAUUGUGUUUUCCUUUUAUGGAGCGGACCGAAUGCCUCGACAGAUAAAAUAGAUGCAUCUAUCAUUUGUGUUGUUCGACCCUUGGUAGUGCACAAUUUAAAUAUUAUGUUGGAUCGGGCCGUACGACCUCGACAUGAUUGCGCAUGACUUAAUUGAUUGUUUUGGAAUUAUUGAUACUUGAUGUGGCUUCAUUGGUCGGAGAUAUAAAUUGUUGAAAGACGAAAAUAAAUUUGGAAAUCUUCUAUUAACAAAAGAAUUGUUUACAUGUUUCAUGUUAUUGAGUUUACAGUCGUCUUAUAAAAUUCACGAUUAAUCAUAUUAUCGAUAUAUUAUUGUUGGCCAUAGUACGUGUCGGAGUCGGCCUUGUGUCACUACUUCUUCGAGAUUAGACUGGAUACUUACUGGGUACGCAUUAUUUUCGUACUCAUACUAUACUUGCUGUACAUUUUGUUGUACAUGCACAUAUAUGGCUAGUGGCCUAGCUAGCACAACGACAUAGUUGGCGCGGGGACUUAGGUGGGCUGCAUUCCAUAUUAUGACCCGCAGCUAGCAGAGUCUCCUUUAGGGUAUUUUCAUUGUUUUCUUUCCUGUCCAAAUUUGUAUUCUGGACAGUUGUUGUAUUUUAUUUUCUUUCCUAGUAAAUGCUCAUUCAAUUAUGACACCGGAUUCUGGGAGGAUUAUGUGAUAUUCAGUAUUGAAAUUGGAAAACAUUAUUAUUUAUUCUGAUAGAAACUAAGCGUUAUAGAGAAGCAAGUUCUCUAUCAGUUCCUACCGUAAGCAAUAGACUGUAGAACCAAAUAGUAUAGGGAAUCAAGUUCUCUAUUUGUUCCCACUGUAAAUCGAUAGUAAAUAAAGAACACAGAGGAAUUUUACGUGGAAAACUCCCAGCUUAACGGGAUUCAAAACCAUGACCUACCCUUGUAGGAUUUCAACUUCACUACUGAGCAAUCUUUAGAUUACAACCUACUGUAACCUAGGAAUUAACCUCUUAAUCCCUCACUAACUUGUAGCUACACUAUUACAAGCCACUUUGUAAUAACUCUAUUACAAAUAGUUNNNNNNNNNNNNNNNNNNNNNNNNNNNNNNNNNNNNNNNNNNNNNNNNNNNNNNNNNNNNNNNNNNNNNNNNNNNNNNNNNNNNNNNNNNNNNNNNNNNNNNNNNNNNNNNNNNNNNNNNNNNNNNNNNNNNNNNNNNNNNNNNNNNNNNNNNNNNNNNNNNNNNNNNNNNNNNNNNNNNNNNNNNNNNNNNNNNNNNNNNNNNNNNNNNNNNNNNNNNNNNNNNNNNNNNNNNNNNNNNNNNNNNNNNNNNNNNNNNNNNNNNNNNNNNNNNNNNNNNNNNNNNNNNNNNNNNNNNNNNNNNNNNNNNNNNNNNNNNNNNNNNNNNNNNNNNNNNNNNNNNNNNNNNNNNNNNNNNNNNNNNNNNNNNNNNNNNNNNNNNNNNNNNNNNNNNNNNNNNNNNNNNNNNNNNNNNNNNNNNNNNNNNNNNNNNNNNNNNNNNNNNNNNNNNNNNNNNNNNNNNNNNNNNNNNNNNNNNNNNNNNNNNNNNNNNNNNNNNNNNNNNGCUAGCACUUGAGAGAAUAUUUUCUUUUGAUUUUGCAAGUGUUAGAGAGAUGAAAUCCCUUUGCUCAUGUUGAUAAUAUAUAUGUGUGUGUUUGUUUGUGUGUGUGAUGUCAUCAAGGAUGAUGCAAUAAAGUGCCCUUUAGUUUGGCCUUAGCAAGCUACAGCUGUGCUGCUGUACUGCUGCCAGAUGGUACAGUGCAGUAGCUUUACAGCUGUAGAGUUGACUGUAGAACGAUGAUGGGAACUGAUCCCUAUCUAGCCCUCUGCUGUUUCCUUAUCUGAUUUCAUUGAGAAUUGAACCAGACAUCUAACUAGUUAUUCUGAAUGCAAGGGAACUUAAUUAUAUCAGAUUCCUUAUUUUGUUCUCUCAUGAAGUAAGUUGUUUUACCUUCCUUGAUUGUAUUUAUAGAUGUGUGACAUCACUUCUAAUGAUGUAAGCAAGGUAGGUAAAAAGCCUUCCAUAGAAAGUUGACUGCUGCAAUGUAGCAUGUGCAGGCAACAACUUUCUAACUGGAGAGUUAACUUCGUACAGUCUCCUCAGGAACAUGUAGGGACCUAUUCCCUCAGCUAUUCCUUCCGCUCUGAAGAGUUGAGUUAUAUCCCAUGCUAGAUCCCAACCUGGAACUUUUGUGAUCUUAAGGUCUUGUAAAUGUGUAAUAGGUUCCUUAUCUGGUUCUGGAUGGAUUACAUCAUCAAAAUAUAAAGUAAAGUACUUAUGCCCAAAGUAUUUGUAACCUAUCAUAUUCUGUAAAGUUCAUCUGUUACUAGUUAAAUUGAAGGAAAAUUUAUGAUUUCAAAAAUAUUAAAAUAAGAACCAAAUUAAUUAUUUAUUAUUGUCUUGCCUGACAGCGGUGUCCGGUGCCAUCACGACCUUUAAUGGAUUUUGGGUCAUGACAUGAGAACCUUUGAACUAGCAAACUUUUGUAACAUGACCUAUUUGUUUCUAAUUUACACAUAAUGCAUCAGGUCUCCACCAACAAAAUCUUUUUAAGUGUGUUUUUGUUUUGAAAUAUUUGCAAUUAGGAUAAUCGACUUUUUCUUUUAGGUGUUCCAUAUAAAAAUUACCCUCAGUAACUUUGUCUUGUCUUAAGGCCCUUAUUUGCUAUUGUGCUUGAAGAUUGCUUGUUAAUUUUUCAACAGAGAUGGUAGAGAGAUCCUUAGACUCUUUUAUAGAGAAAAUUUUGGACUCAAAUCUCUCGAAAAUUAUCACAAGAAAUUUUUUAACUAUACUGUCAUCUUUAAAAUCCUCGCCAAACAACCUGAUUCUAUUGGAAAUUAAAGAAAUUCUAUUACAAUACUUAAUGAUGGUCUCAUCAUCUUGCAUUCUAUGAGAUUAAAUAUCUCUUUUCAAAUUCAAAAUUUGAUUUUGUCUGCCUCGUUCACUUUCUUGAUAUUCCUAUUUGAGUUUUUUUCAAGCUUCUUAUUAUCUCACAUACAAUCAUUUUAGAGAAGAUUGAAUUUGCCACUGAAUUUUGAAUUAUAGUUUUGGCUUUGUAUUUUUUGGUUUUCUCUUCUGAAUGAGCUUUGAUUUGGGCAAAGCUAGGAUUCACAAGAAGUGAUGUGAGGACCCAAUAGAUCAUCUAGAGUUUUAGAACGUAAUUAUGUAUUUCGAAGCCUCAAACACCUCAUUUUAGCAUUCCUUGAUUUGCAUGCCAGUCCAGGACUUUAUCUAGAGGGCUGUUGUGUUAGAAAUUGAUAAAAUAUGAAAUUUUUCUUUAGAACAUCGAUCAAUAUUUUGAGCAAACGGAUGCAAAUCUAUGAUUUGAUGAUCCCGGUGAAUUCGUAUCGUGAUUUGGGACUUGGGCACAUGCCCGUAAUCAAAUUCGAAGGUCCCUAGCUUGAGUUUUUGUAAUUUGUUUAAAAUUUGAAGUUUAAAGGCUUAAUGAAUCUAAAAGUUUGACCAAUGUUUGGCUUUAUUGAUAUCGGGUCCGUAUUUUGCUUGUGGAACCCAGUAUAGGUCCGUUACUAUAUUUUUGACUUGUCUAUCAAAUUUGGAGAGAAAUGGAGUUACUUUGACGUGAUUCAAAUGUCCGGUUGUUAAAAUAGCAAUUCUAAAGUUUUAUUGAAAAUUUCAUUUGAUUUGGUGCCCGAUUAAUAGUUCUAGGUGUUAUUUUGGCGAUUUGAUUAUGCGAGCAAAUUUGUAUGAUAUUUUUUGGACUUGUGUGCAUGUUUGGUUUGGAGCCCCAUUGGCUCGGGUGAGUUUCGGAUAGGCUACAGAGUGGUUUGGACUUAGAAAAACAAAGUUGGUGUGCUUCAGUUCUGGUGCGGGCCUCAGGUGAGGUCAGACCUUGCAUUUGCGACACUGCAAAACUCCUAUUAGGUUCACAAUUGAAAGAUACUUCCUCACAAUUGUGAAGAAUAGCUGGGCACCACAGGUUCACAUUUGCAACCAAUGGGGUCGAUUGUUUCAGAUGACGGGUUCUACCAAGAGGUGGUGGAAGGAUUAUGUAUCUACUAUACCAGCUGGGUCACCUGCUCUUAGUUGGGACUAGUUCUCUCAACUAUUUCUUGAGAAGUUCCUUCCUAUCAUAUUGAGAGAGGAUUACCGUAAUCUGUUUGAGCGUCUCCAACUGGGUAGUAUGUCAGUCACUCAGUAUGAGACUUGUUUUUUGGAACUAGCCCAUCAUGCUCUUCUUAUGCUUCCUACUGAGAGAGAGAGUGAGAGAGUGAGAGAGUGAGAUGAGGUUUAUUGAUGGACUCGCUCACCCUAUCAAUCUACAGAUGGCCAAGGAGACUGAGGGUGAGAUUUCUUUUGAGACGACUGCUAAUUUCACCAGGUGGAUCAAGAUUGUUCUUUCAUAGGAGAGAGAGCAGAGGUUUGAUAAGAGGCCUCGUCAUUCCGAUGGAUUCAGUGGUGCUUCAUCUGGAUGCAGGGAUGCUUUUGGUAGAGGCCAUCCUCCCAAGCUGUUUCAUUCAGCGUUCGUGGCAUCCCAUAAUGCUUUAGGUGGUCGUGGCCCUCAUAUGUCUCAUUCCGAUGAACUAGCCUACAACGCACCACCAGCUCCUAUCGGUGCACUUCCGCUCCAGAUUUUUUAGGGUGGUUACUCAGGUCGACAGGGUCAGCAGUCAGAACAGCCGUGGUCCUAUUAUACUUGUGGUGACCCGAGGCACAUUGCUAGAUUUUGCCCUUGGGCACCGGGAAGCUCACAAUAUCAGGGUUCUUGUGCCAUGGUCCCGGCACCGGGUGCUUCACCGCCUGCUUAGCCAGCUAGAGGUAGGGGUCAGACAGCUAGAGGUGGAGGUCAGGACAUUAGAGGUGGAUGUCAGGCUGCUAGAGGUGGAGGCCAUCAAACUAUGUCUCGUCCUAGAUAUGUAGUUCGGCGUGGUGGGGCCCAACCCCGAUGUUAUGCCUUCCCAGCAAGGCCUGAGGCUGAGUCAUCUAAUGCUGUUAUCACAGGUACUAUUUCAGUUUGCCAUAGAGAUUCUUUAGUUCUAUUUUUUCCAGGCUCAACUUAUUCGUACAUGUCAUCCUAUUUUGCUUCAUAUUUGGUUGUGCCGCGUGAUUCUUUGAGUGCUCAUGUGUAUGUGUCCACUCAUAUGGGAUAUUCUAUUGUUGUAGAUCGUGUUUAUCGUUCGUGUAUGGUUACUAUUGGGAGCCUUGAGACUAGCGUAGAUCUUCUACUUCUCAAUAUGGUAGAUUUUGAUGUUUUCUUUGGUAUGGAUUGGCCGUCACCUUAUCAUGCUAUAUUAGAUUGUCACGCCAAGAAGGUGACCUUAGCCUUGUCGGGGUUGCCUUGAUUAGAGUGGAGAAUGACUCAUGGUCAUUCUACCAGCAGGGUUAUCUCUUAUGUGAAGGCUUGGCAUAUGAUUCAAAAAAGGUGUCUAGUUUAUUUGGCUUAUGUUCGCGAUUCUAGUGUAGAGGUUCCUUCCAUGGAUUCAGUACUACGUUGUUCGUGAGUUUCCAGAGGUGUUUGCUGCAGACCUAACAGGGAUGCCACCCGAUAGGGAUAUUGACUUCAUUAUUGAUUUGGCUUCGGCCACUCAGCCCAUUUCUAUUUUAGUAUACCGUAAGGCCCCGUUGGAGUUUAAAGAAUUGAGGGAACAAUUGCAAGAUUUACUUGAUAAGGGCUUCAUUAGACCUAGUGUCACGUCAUGGGGUGUGCCUGUGUUGUUUGUGAAAAAGAAGGAUGGGUCGAUGAGGAUAUGCAUAGAUUACAGGCAAUUGAACAAAGUCACCAUCAAGAACAAGUUUCCAUUGCCGAUGAUUGAUGACUUAUUUUAUCAGCUUCAGGGUGCCAAGGUGUUUUCAAAUAUUGAUUUGAGGUCUAGCUACCAUUAGUUGAGGAUUAGGGCAUUCGAUGUCCCUAAGACAGCUUUUUGGACUCGGUAUGAGCAAUAUGAGUUUCUAGUAAUGUCAUUUGGGCUGACAAAUGCCCUAGCAAUAUUUAUAGAUUUGAUGAACCGGGUGUUUAACUCCUAUUGGUAUUCCUUUGUGAUUGUGUUAAUUGAUGAUAUCUUGAUAUACUCCUGUUUCCGAGAGGAGUAUGAGCAACAUCUUCAGAUUGUACUUCAGACUCUGAGAUAGCUAGUUAUAUUCUAAGUUUUCAAAGUGUGAGUUUUAGUUGGACUCAGUUGCUUUCUUAAGGAACGUAGUAUCAGCAGAGGGCAUUCAAGUGGAUCCUAAGAAGAUUGAGACAGUUCGGAUCUGGCCUAGACCCAGUUCAGCUAUGGAGAAUCGGAGCUUCCUGGGUUUGGCGGGUUAUUACUGUUGGUCCGUGGAGGGGUUUUCAUCUAUAGUUGCCCCAUUGACUAGGUUGACCUAGAAGGGUGCCCUUUUAGAUGGUUAGACGAGUGUGAGACGAGCUUUCAGAACUCAAGAUUACUUCGCCUACUGCGCCAGUGUUGGUGUUGACCACAGGUUCAGGAUCUUACACGGUGUAUUAUGAUGCAUCUCAUAUUGGGCUUGGUGCAGUAUUGAUGCAGGAUAACCGAAUGAUUGCAUAUGUGUCAUAGCAGUUGAAGUUUUAUGAGAAAAAUUACCCUGUUCAUGACUUAGAGUUGGCAGCCAUUGUUCAUGUGCUGAAGAUUUGGAGGCACUAUCUUUACGACGUGUCAUGCGAGGUAUUCACAGAUCAUCGAUGUUUGUAGUAUUUGUUCAAACAGAAGGAUCUCAAUUUGAGGCAUAGGAGAUAGUUGUAGUUGUUGAAAGACUAUGAUAUAACCAUCUUGUAUCAUCCCAAGAAGACCAAUGUGGUGGCCGAUGCCUUGAGUAGAAAGGCAGUGAGUAUGGGUAGCCUUGCAUACAUUCCAGUCGGUGAGAGACCGCUUGCAUCAGAUGAUCAGGAUUUGGCCAAUAAGUUUGUGAGGUUGGAUGUUCAAAGCCCAGUUGUGUUCUAGCUUGUAUAGUCGCUCGGUCUUCCUUGUUUGAGCACAUCAAGGAACGGUAGUAUGAUGACCCUCAUAUGCUAGUCCUUAACGACAUAGUACGAUAUGGAGGUUCUAAGAAGGUUACUGUGGGAGAUGAUGGAGUUUUGAGGAUAAAAAGUCAUAUUUGUGUGUCUAAUGUAGAUAGACUUCGUGAGUUGAUUCUUGAGGAGGCCCACAAUUCUCGGUAUUCUAUUCAUCCAGGUGCUGCCAAGAUUCAUUAGGACUUGCGGAAGCGUUAUUGGUGGAGGAGGAUGAAGAAGGAUAUAGUUGCAUAUGUAGCUUGGUGUCAAAAUUGUUAGCAAGUAAAGUAUAAGCAUCAGAAACCUGGUGGUUUGCUUCAGAAGUUAGAAAUUCCUAAGUAAAAGUGAGAGUGUAUCACUAUGGACUUUGUUGUUGGGGUCUUACGAACUCAACAGAAGGUUGAUGUAGUUUGGGUGAUCGUGGACAGGCUGAUCAAGUCAGCGCAUUUCAGUCCUGUGGUAGUUACCUAUUCUUUAGAGCGGUUGGCUGGGAUUUACAUCCGGGAGAUCAUUUUUCUCCACGGUGUGCCCAUGUCUACCAUUUCUGAUCGAGGUAUGCAGUUCACCUUGCACUUCUGGAGGGUAGUACAACGUGAUUUGGGCAUGCGGGUUGAGUUGAGCACAACAUUUCAUCCUUAGACGGACGGACAGUCUGAUUCCACUAUUUAGAUAUUGGAGGAUAUGCUCCGCACUUGUGUUAUAGACUUCGGAGGUUCUUGGGAUUAGUUCUUGCCACUUGGGAAGUUUGCCUGCAAUAACAGCUACCACUCGAGCAUUCAGAUGGCUCCAUAUGAGGCAUUAUACGGGAGGUAGUGCGGUUCCCCAGUUGGAUAGUUCUAGUAGGGGGAGGCUCGGCUGUUGGGUGCAGAUUUGGUACAGGAUGCCUUGGAUAAGGUCAAGAUUAUUUAGUAUCAACUUCGCACAACUCAGUCUAGGCAGAAGAGUUAUGCUGACCGUAGAGUUCGUGAUGUUGCAUUCAUGGGCGGAGAGAGGGUGUUGCUUCGGGUUUCACCCAUGAAGGGUGUGAUGAGGUUUGGAAAGAAGGGCAAGUUGAGCCCUAGGUAUAUCGGACCUUUUGAUAUUCUUCAGAGAGUGGGUGAGGUAGCUUAUAAACUCGUAUUGCCACCUAGCUUGUCAGCAGUCCAUCCGGUGUUCCAUGUUUCCAUAUUUUGUAAGUAUCACGAUGAUCUGUCCUAUGUGUUGUAUUUCAGCUCGGUCCAGUUGGACAAGGAUUUAACUUAUGAGGAGGAUCCGGUGGCCAUUCAAGUCCGGCAGGUUUGUCAAUCGAGGUCAAAGAGUUAUCCUUCAGUUCGAGCGUAGUGGAGUGGUCAGCCCAUCGAGGAAGCUACUUGGGAGUCCAAGUCGGACAUGCGGAGUAGAUAUCCACACCUUUUUGCCAGUCCAAGUACUUUUUUAUGUCCGUCCGAGGACGAACUGUUGUUUUACAGGUGGAGAAUGUGAUUACCUGAUAGGUCAUCUAGCGUUUUAGAACUUAAUUCUGUGUUUCGAAGCCUCAAACACCUCAUUUUAGCCUUCUUCGAUUUGCAUGCGUAGUCUGGGUCUUUUUCUGGAAGGCUGUUAUGUAAGAAAUUGCUAAAAAAUAAAAUUUUGCCUUAAAAAUCUAUUUGAGUUAACUUCGUUCAACGUAUUGAGAAAACAGACCUAGAUCUGUAUUUUGAUGGUCCCGGUGGAUUCGUAUCAUGAUUUGAGACUUGGGAGUAUGCCCGUAAUCGAAUUCGGAGGUCCUUAGUUCGAGUUUUUGCAUUUUGUGGAAAAAUUAAAGUUUGAAGGCUUAAUGAAUCUAAAAGUUUGACCAAUGUUUGACUUUAUUUACAACGGGUCUGUAUUUUGGUUUCGGAACCUGGUAUAGGUCUGUUUCUAUAUUUAUGACUUGUCUGUCAAAUUUUGAGGAGAAAUGGAGUUAAUUUGACGUGAUUCAGAUGUCUGGUUGUUAAAAUAGCAAUUCUAAAGUUUUCAUGAAAAUUUCAUUUGAUUUGGUGUUUGAUUCAUAGUUCUAGGUGUUAUUUUGGAGAUUUUAUCGCCCGAGCAAGUUUGUAUGAUGUUUUUGGGAUUUUGUGUAUGUUUGGUUUGGAGCCUGAGUGCUCGGGUGAGUUUCAGAUAGGCUACGAAGUGGUUUGGACUUAGAAAAACAAAGUUGGUGUGCUUCAGUUCUGGUGCAGGCCUCAGACCUCGCAAUUGCAAGGUCAGGCCUCGCAUUUUACAACGCUGCAGAACUCCUGUCAGGUUCGCAAUUGUGAGCUAUUUCCUGGCAAAAUACGAAGACUAACUGGGCAUCACUGGUUCGCAUUUGCGACCAAAUUUAUCGCAAUUGCGAAGUGGGGCUGGGGGGACAGUCGCAUUUGCGAUCAAAUUUAACGGUCAUAUUUGCGGGAUGGCCAUUGUUCGCAAUUGUGAACAAAUCAUGACAAUUGUGAACAAAUCAUCGCAAUUGCGAUGAUAGCAGAAAUGCUGAGACUUCGUAUUCGCAAAGGUUUUCUCGCAUUUGCGAGGUUCGCAAUUGCAAACCCCAGGUCGCAAUUGCGGCAUCUGCAACUGGUCAAAAUCUGAGUUAGACAGGAUUUUCUCUCAUUCUUCAAAUUUUCAAACCUAGAGAACCCUAGAGGAGGUUUUCCCCAGAGCCCUUCUUCCCCCAUUCACUAAUAAGUGAUUCUAAUAUAUUUUCUUUCACUUCUCCAUUACAUUUCAUAAGAUUUCAACCUAAAAUCUAGGAUUUUUGUGGUAGAAAUUAGGAGUAUGGGUAGAAUUAGGUACUUUUAUAAAAUUAGAAUUUAGGCCUUAAAUAAAGGUCGGAUUUCGAAACAAAUUACAUAACCGGGCUCGGGAAUGAAUUUGUGAUCGGGUUUUGAUCUGAAUUUCGGAUUUGGACCAAGCGGGCCCGGGAGUGACUUUUUUUACUUUUCAAUAUUGACCUAAAUUGUAUCUUUUACAAUCGUGGGUAGUUCCUAAGGCUUAUUUUGAAUUGUUUGGUUGAUAAUUUGCUAUAUUUGGUUGGUUCGGAGGCUUGUUUGAAAGGCAAAGACGUGGUUGAGCUCUGAGUUGAUCUUUGGAGAGAGGUAAGUGUCGUGGUUAAGCUUGACUUGCAGGAUUAGGACUUGUUUGCCUAUUUGCUACCUGUAUAGAUGUUGGGUACAAUAUAUAUGUGAGGUGACGAGUACUUAUGCAUUUGUGUUGGGUUAAAGCAUGCGGGUGAGACUUGUUUCUUGUAAAUUAUUGCUUUCUUUGAUCAUGAUAUCCAUGCCUAGACUUGUUUAAUUACUAAAUUGAUCGUUCUUUAUGCAUUUAUGGACUGUCUAUGAUAAUUGAGUAUUGUUUUUCUGAAGUUGAGGUUGGUUUUGUGGAAUCAUUGUUGACGUAAAGCUUGUCCUGGUUUAUUUCAUCUCCCUAUUGUUAUAUGUUCAUUGUUAUAUGAUAAGGGAGAGUUUAAUGGACAAAAGGUGAUGUCAUGCCAUAUUUGAGAGUUAAUGCACGAAAGGUGAUGUCAUGCCAUAUUUGAGAGUUAAUGCACAAAGAGUGAUGUCGUGCCAUGUUUGAGAGUUAAUGCACGAAGGGUGAUACCGUGCCGUAUCUAUUGAUUUAUGAUUAAAGUGAGAGUAAAAACAUGAAGGGUGAUGCCAUGCUGUUAUUUAUGUUUCAUAGUGAGGUUGAGAGUAAAAGCACGAAGGGUAACGCCGUGUAGUAUUAUUCAUCAUGCGUAUUCGUUUUGCUGGUUAAAGGCUUAUUGACUCUUUCUUGUUAUUAUUCCUUGAUGAGUUUAUCUUAUCUUGUACCUCUUUCGCAUGUCCCCUCCAAACAAUAUCUGUUUAGCCUUUAUUUGUUAUUAUGUUGUAUGCAUACUGUUAUCUGCACAGGUUUAAUUUUGUGGGUGUCUUGUCAUAGCCUUGUCACUACCUCGUCGCUAUUAGGCUCGACACUUAUGGAGUACAUGUGGUUGGUUGUACUCAUACUACACUCGCACUUCUUGUGCAGAUUAUGGUACUGGACCCAGUUGCCCUGAGGUGCAUCAUCUCGGAUCAACUGACUUGGAGACUCGAGAUAGAUCUGCUGGCGUCCGCAGACCUUGAAGUCCCCUUCUAUUUCCCUUAUUUACUGCUCUUUUCAUUCGAGACAGUUGUACUUAUUUCAGACUAUGUUUGUAGAAAUUCUAGAAGCUCGUGAACUUGUGACUCCAGAUCCGGGUUGUAUUAGAUAUUGGUUUAUUACGUUAUUUUGUACUUUAUUUUGAACUUCAUUUCUGUUUGAUUGGUUCUACUAAUUUGAAUUGGUUAAAAUUGGCUUAAAAAUUCUCUAAUAUUGGUUUGCCUAGCAAGUGAAAUGUUAGGCGCCAUCACGGUCCCAAAGGUGAAAAUUUCGGGUCGUGACAAGUGGUUGUAUGAGUCUGUCUUCUAUUACAACUUCCC